This 460-nucleotide ribosomal RNA is filed under the name uncultured bacterium. RNAcentral describes it as "partial 16S ribosomal RNA". It matches the Rfam family "Bacterial small subunit ribosomal RNA", at positions 338 to 795 of the family's 1533-position model. The record is from RNAcentral.
CCUACGGGUGGCAGCAGUGAGGAAUAUUGGUCAAUGGACGAGAGUCUGAACCAGCCAAGUAGCGUGAAGGAUGACUGCCCUAUGGGUUGUAAACUUCUUUUAUAUGGGAAUAAAACGUUCCACGUGUGGGAUUUUGUAUGUACCAUAUGAAUAAGGAUCGGCUAACUCCGUGCCAGCAGCCGCGGUAAUACGGAGGAUCCGAGCGUUAUCCGGAUUUAUUGGGUUGAAAGGGAGCGUAGGUGGAUUGUUAAGUCAGUUGUGAAAGUUUGCUGCUCAACCGUAAAAUUGCAGUUGAAACUGGCAGUCUUGAGUACAGUAGAGGUGGGCGGAAUUCGUGGUGUAGCGGUGAAAUGCUUAGAUAUCACGAAGAACUCCGAUUGCGAAGGCAGUUCACUGGACUGCAACUGACACUGAGGCUCGAAAGUGUGGGUAUCAAACAGGAUUAGAUACCCUAGUAGUC